This 27-nucleotide non-coding RNA is filed under the name Cricetulus griseus (Chinese hamster). The record is from RNAcentral. Lineage: Eukaryota; Metazoa; Chordata; Mammalia; Rodentia; Cricetidae.
GCUGAACACCAGAUCAAUCUAAUUAAG